CCUACGUACCCAUUGUGUUUCGGCAUCUGCUACGCACGGCGCAGAUCGUAUGGAACACCAGAAAGCGAAACAAAUUAAAUACCUAUACUCGGUGCAUUAGAUGUAGAUAGAUAUAUGCAAAUGAGUUUGUUGACAAUCGAGUUGAGAAAAAUCUUUCUGUAAUAGUUAAUCUCUAAACUAAUGAAUUUGUUACAAAAAAAAACUAGUUGAAGUUCACUAAAAAUAGGUUGAAUUAUUAAAAUUAGAAGUAGUUCCAUGCAGUGAAAUUGUGCAUCUAAAGGUGAAUUGUGUAGCUGACUUAAAUGCUAAAAAUACGUUUAAAACUUAACUUAUUUGUAUCACAGAUUUAGAUCACAGAUAGUAGUGCGAUUAUCACAGUUAGUGCAUAAGCAUUGAUUCGGGACUGCAGUUAGGAUCAUCUACAACAAAGGUAAUAAUAUCAGUUACUAUGCUGCAGAACUAGGCAUGCGAAUAUAACAUUUAACUGCACUAAAAUAGGAAUCGCAGCAGCUACCGUACGGGACCGCUUUCCGGACGUAACGGGUAAAGACGCACUAAACGUGAGUAAAAUCAAUUAGAGACAUUGGAAAGAUAGUGAAUUAGAUAUUCUCGAUUGUUCGCUACAUUUACAGGAAAAAUUUAACACUCAAAAAAAAUACAUAAAUACAACGUAUAUUUGUCGAGUUGUUCAAAUUACCGGAAUUUCCGUCUUGUUUCCGUUAACGGCAACAAAUUAAAUUUUUCGUUUAUCCGGAAUGUCAAGCGGUAGCGUAGCGGGUGCAGGCAUGACGAAAAGUGGUUCUCCCGGUGAGGGGGUGGGUUGCGGAGUGUGUCGUCGGGGUGAUGAAGAUUGUACCAACAGUCGAAUGGUUCAAUGCGACGAGUGCAAUGUGUGGUUCCAUUAUGACUGUGUGAACGUGAACGAUAGUAUCCGAGAUUACGACUGGAGCUGUAACGGAUGCGUGAGAACAACGCUAGACAAACAACGGCAAACCUUGAGUGAGCAGAUGGAGCGUCUCGAGCAGCAGCAGAAGCAGUGGCGACAAGAGCAGCAAAAAUACCAGGACCAGACUGAUGAACAACGCAAAAAGCUUGAGCAGUGGCAGACACAACUUGAGCUGCAACGGCGAGGGCAAGAGCAAAUACAUCAGUCGCAGACCGGGCAGUUGCAGUUGCAGCAGCAGAGCAAGCAGUUCGAAGCAACUACAUCUGGACUCAACACGCCAUGGCAAACGUUUGGCGGAUCUCUGAGUCAGAAGCAGCAAGUCAGGAUUGUGGAAGAAGUCGUAACGGAAACACAAGCAGCGAAUGGACCAGGCAAUACCAAACCGCUGGGGACUUCGUCCGUCAACAAUGUUGGAACAUGCCGUAGAAGCAUCAUAGCAUCCUCAAAAUCAUCGAAGCGUUCGGCAAAGCUUCGAGAACUACAAACAAAGGCUCUGGAGGCAAGACAGGCGCUUGAGAAGAAGCAGUUGGAGGAGCGGUUGGAACUGGAGCGCGAAAUGUUGGAGCUUAGCGAAUCCGAAGUCGAUUCAGUUACGAGUCUCGAGAAAAUCAACGAAUGGCUGGAGAAAACGGAGAAUGCAGGGAAGGAAGCAGGAAAUUCCCUGGACGAAACACCUUUGCCGGUGUACAACGAGCUUCUGCGAAAAACAGUAGUGCCGCAAUCUCAAACGUGUAUCCCGGGUUUCCCGGUAGUGCAAGCCAAUGUUCAGCAACAUGCUAGAUAUUCUGCUCCGCAUCAACCGUGUGUCUCGCAGCAGCUUGGGGGAAUUUGUGCCCCUGGGGUCAGAUAUACCGAAAACCUACGACCCAGCCAGAAAUUUGCAGGUUUUCCUCCGAAUUACCAGCCACCAUUGGGCAAUUUCUCAUCGAUGCCGGUGUAUACUGUAGCGUCGCAUCAACCGACAGCGUAUCCGGCGACGAGUUAUCAACACCAAGCCGCUCAAACCAUCCAGCAUACCGAUUCUAUUCCGCAGAACCUCGGUCAUCCAGUGAUGAGCACAUCAACUCCGCGAUAUCGUCCGGCUACAUCUCAGCAGCAAUAUCUACCCCAUCUGCAUAGUAAUCCAGUACCUCUGGACAGCAGUCACUUAGCAGCAAGACAGACGGUUAAAGAUCUUCCGAAGUUUGGUGGGGAUCCUGAAGAUUGGCCUCGAUUCAUCGCGGCAUACGAGCGCACUUCUAGGAUGUGUGCCUUCAGGAACGACGAAUUGCUUGAUCGACUGGAGCGGAGUCUGCACGAUAAGGCACUCAACGCCGUUAAAAGUCUACUAUUACACCCCGACAACGUUCCAGUCAUCAUGAAGCGACUGAAGACCCUCUUCGGGAAUCCGGAAUCUAUAGUGGAGACAAUGGUGCGGAGAAUCCGCAUGAUGCCACCUCCGAAGGCUGAGAAGAUGGAGACGAUUAUCGACUUCGGCGUUGCCGUGCAGAACCUGUGUGCGACAAUACAAGUGUGCCAAAUGGACGAAAGGUUGUAUAAUGUCGCAUUGCUGCAGGAGCUUGUAGAUAGUCUACCAUCAGCGUUGAAAAUGAAGUGGGCAUUCUACCGAAAGGAGAUCGGAGCUGCCACGUUGUUGGAGUUCAAUAACUGGCUAGGAGAUAUGGUUGAGGCAUUUAGUCAGGUGGUCAGACCUGCGGCUGGGACAAAAAUGCAGAAGCCAGAGAUCAGAGUACGAAAAGAAGAAGUCUAUGUUCACGCACACUCACUGUCUUCACCGGAACAGCUCGACUACAAAACUUGUCCAGCGUGUAGCAACGAAUGCAGCAGCCUCGAACAGUGUAGUGGUUUUCUGGAGAUGUUGCCGAAAGCACGAUGGGCGUUGGUGAACGAAAAGAAAAUCUGCCGGAAGUGUUUGACGAAGCACUUCAAUACUUGCGAAAGGAAAGUUCCAUGCAACCAGGAUGGGUGCAGCUUUCUACAUCAUUGGUUGUUGCACGACGACAGCAAACACAAGAAGCCGUUAGCAAGCGCUCAAGUACAAAACGCAUCUGUGAACGCGCACCAUCGCUCAUUGCCAAACGUGCUCUUGAAGUACAUACGAGUUACUCUACACGGUAAAGGAAGGUCGAUUACGACAUACGCCUUCUUUGAUUCAGGAUCAACGUCAACGCUGAUGGAGCACAGUUUGUGGAAGGAACUGAACCUCAAUGGUGAGAAGUCUCCACUGUGCAUUUCGUGGACUGGGGGACAAGGAAGAUACGAGCAAGAUUCAGUAGUAUUCUCGGCUGACAUUGCUAGUGCUGCAAACCCAGGACAACGAUUCCGUCUUCCGGAGGUACAUACGGUGCGUAGCUUAGAUCUUCCUGAACAGUCAAUGUCGGUUACUGAGCUAGCAAAGCACUUCCAACAUCUGUCUGAUCUUCCUAUCGACUCAUACAGUGCAGUAAAACCCCGAAUUCUACUUGGAGUUGACAGCUCCAGGCUUGAGUACCCUUUUGACUCUAGAGAGGGAAGCGAGAACCAGCCGACGGCUGUAUUAACACGGCUGGGUUGGGUAGUCUACGGGCCGUGCUCGUUGUCAGGGCAAACAGUCGCUAUCAACGACGUUUCGUACAGCUACCACAUCUGUCAGUGCGAGGGACUGCAUCUAGCCGUCAAAAAUUACUUCUCUCUCGACAGUCUCGGAGUUCAACUUGAUGGGAAACCGCUGAUGUCAAGGGAUGAUGAACGAGCGAUGAAGCUGUUACAAGAAAAUACUGUUCUACAGAAUAAACGAUAUGAGACAGGCUUGCUAUGGCGCUACGAAGAUGUCCGAUUACCGUCGAGCAAAUCCAUGGCCCUAAAACGACACGACUGCUUAAACAAACGCAUGGCUCGGGAUCCAGUGUUAGCCAAAUGUCUUCAGGAAAAAAUCCUGGACUAUCAAGCGAAAGGGUAUAUUCGUAAGCUAUCGGCGCAGGAAGAGAACACGUAUUCAGGACGUUCGUGGUAUCUACCGAUCUUCCCAGUGGUUAACCCCAACAAACCUGGUAAGCUGCGAAUUGUCUGGGACGCUGCCGCCAAAGUGGGAAACUUCUCUCUCAACUCGUUUCUACUAAAAGGACCAGAUCAGGUUACGCCGCUUCAGCACGUCCUUCAAAGAUUUCGUGAAUAUCGUACGGCGGUCGCAGGAGAUAUUCGUGAAAUGUUUCACCAAGUUCGAAUCAAGCCCAUCGAUCAGCAUUGCCAGCGAUUCCUGUGGAAUGAUGGCAUCCCCGGAAAUGCUCCUUCAACGUACGCAAUGGAGGUGAUGACGUUCGGUGCAAGCUGCUCACCGAGUAGUGCACAAUAUGUGAAGAAUAUCAAUGCAGCUCGAUUCAAGGACCAGUAUCCGGAAGCGGUGGAGACGAUUUGUAAAGGAACGUAUGUGGAUGAUAUGCUCGACAGUGUUGAAUCCGAAGCAGAAGCUGUGAAACUCUUGCAGGAUGUACGCUACAUACACGCGGAAGGUGGGUUCGAGAUCCGAGGAUGGCUGUCGAACUCCCAGAAGGUGCUGGAUUCCAUGGGCGAGCAGAUAACACCACAAAAGGAUCUAAAUAGGGAUGGAGACUUGGCAACCGAGAAAGUUCUUGGCAUGUGGUGGGAUACAAUCAGCGACACGUUUACAUUCAAGAUCCCAAAACGCUGUCGACAGGAGCUGUUAUCUGGAGAGCAAGUUCCUACGAAGCGGGAAGUUCUACGGACUCUCAUGUCUGUCUACGACCCGCUUGGUCUCCUCGCGAAUAUACUGAUGUAUUUGAAGGUGCUACUUCAAGAGAUCUGGCGUUCCAAAAUUGGCUGGGACGAACCGAUAGACGAUGAAUCACUGGACAAAUGGAGAGCCUGGCUUAGGGUAUUGAAUCAGGUAGAAACAGUUUCCGUUCCUCGAUGCUAUCGUAAGGUGACAUCAUCAUCAACCGUGACUAACGAGGUCCAGCUGCACGUUUUCGUCGACACGAGUGAGAAAGGUUACGCAGCAGUCGCCUAUCUCAGAUUCGAUGAGAAUCGCUCUGUUGAGUGUGCUUUCGUUACAGCUAAAACUCGUGUCGCUCCGCUCAAAUACAUUUCAAUUCCACGACUAGAGCUUCAGGCGGCCGUGGUAGGAACACGUCUGGCAAAAUGUAUAGGAGAAACGCACCGAAUAACAGUUCAAAAGCGGUUUUUCUGGACUGAUUCAAUGGACGUUCUCUGUUGGUUACGUACGGAUCACAGGCGAUACAGCAAAUUCGUUGGUGCUAGGGUUGGAGAAAUUCUCGAAGACACAGCGAUAUCAGAGUGGCUCUGGGUUCCAACUAAAUUGAACGUGGCAGACGAAGGUACGAAAUGGCAGAAAUUCCCGGAUCUAUCCUCAUCUAGUCGAUGGUUCAGGGGACCGGAUUUCAUGUGGCAACAGAUGAGUGCCUGGCCAGCUCAGCCGGCGUAUCAUGGUGAAACUAUCACUGAAAGGAACGCCAGCAUCAACGUCCAUAACACUCGUGAACCCAUUUUUAAUUUUGCCAAUUACUCCAACUGGCGUAAACUUCUACGGAUCACUGCUUACGUACUCCGGUUCACAACAAAUUUGCGAGCAUAUUUGCAGCGGAGAUCACCUUCCAACGGAAUCCUGAAGCAGUCGGAGCUGAUUGAAGCUGAACGAUACAUCUAUCGACAAGUUCAACUGGAUGCAUAUGGCGAGGAGAUUGCAUUACUGCGGAGUUCGAAGGAUGCUGAAGGAAGGACGACGGCUACGAUUCCCAGAAGCAGCUCUCUAUACAAACUUUCACCGUUUCUGGACGACCACGGAGUACUUCGUACAGAAGGACGGGCUGCUGGAUGCAAGUUCAUUGAUCCAGAUGCUGUCCACACAAUCCUUUUGCCGAGGGAGCAUCCGAUCACUACACUCAUCAUACGAUUCACCCACGAACGCUACCACCAUCUUAACCACGAAACCAUCGUCAACGAACUGCGUCAGGUGUAUCGAAUUCCGAAGCUUCGAAGUGUCUGCAACAAGAUACGACGACUUUGCCAAUACUGCAAAAAUCUACGAGCUCAACCACAACCGCCCGUAAUGGCCGACCUUCCGCCAGCUCGUCUUGCUGCUUAUUCUCGUCCGUUCUCAUACGUCGGAAUUGAUUACUUUGGGCCAAUCCAAGUCGUUGUUGGCAGACGGAGUGAGAAAAGAUGGGGCGUGUUAAUAACGUGUCUGGUGGUACGCGCCAUCCAUAUUGAAAUAGCGCAUUCCCUUAACACGAGCUCUUGUAUCAUGGCUCUACGCAACUUUAUGUGCAGGAGAGGUACACCCGUGGAACUGUUCAGUGAUCGAGGAACGAACUUCAUCGGUGCAAAUCGCGAGCUAACUGAAGCACUUCGGUUCCUUGAUGAAGAUAAGCUAAUGCAAGAGUUCGUCACGCCGCAUACAAAAUGGACCUUCCUGCCGCCAAGCAGUCCACAUAUGGGUGGAAGUUGGGAAAGAUUGGUGCAAUCGGUUAAGAAAAUCCUAGGAAACAUGCAGCUCCCGAGAACACCUACCGACGAAGUCCUGCGGAACAGCCUCUUGGAAGUGGAGAACAUUAUCAACUCUCGCCCCCUCACCUACAUUCCUAUUGAUGAUGCCGAGAACGAAGCACUGACACCCAACCAUUUUUUGUUGGGUUCUUCCGGUGGCUCAAAGCCACUUGUAGCCUACGAUAGUAGCCCCGCUACGCUAGUUAAUAACUGGAGAACUUCGCAAAUCUAUGCUAACAUAUUCUGGAGACGUUGGUUGCGAGAAUACCUGCCCUCAAUCAGUCGUCGGACAAAGUGGCACUACCCAACGAAGCCAAUCGAAGUCGGUGACGUAGUGGUCAUUACCGACCCGGACCUGCCAAGAAACUUAUGGCCCAAGGGCCGUGUGGUAGACGUAAGGUGCAAAAAUGGCCAAGUUCGAAGCGCAACCGUAAGGACAUCGACAAAUAUCUACAACCGCCCAGCAGUGAAACUUGCGGUACUGGACGUCGGCGCAAUUAAUACUACACAAGAACCUGGACCUUGUGUACUGGGGGGGACAGUUACGCAAGCUGCGUAAAGCGCCUACGUACCCAUUGUGUUUCGGCAUCUGCUACGCACGGCGCAGAUCGUAUGGAACACCAGAAAGCGAAACAAAUUAAAUACCUAUACUCGGUGCAUUAGAUGUAGAUAGAUAUAUGCAAAUGAGUUUGUUGACAAUCGAGUUGAGAAAAAUCUUUCUGUAAUAGUUAAUCUCUAAACUAAUGAAUUUGUUACAAAAAAAAACUAGUUGAAGUUCACUAAAAAUAGGUUGAAUUAUUAAAAUUAGAAGUAGUUCCAUGCAGUGAAAUUGUGCAUCUAAAGGUGAAUUGUGUAGCUGACUUAAAUGCUAAAAAUACGUUUAAAACUUAACUUAUUUGUAUCACAGAUUUAGAUCACAGAUAGUAGUGCGAUUAUCACAGUUAGUGCAUAAGCAUUGAUUCGGGACUGCAGUUAGGAUCAUCUACAACAAAGGAAUCGCAGCAGCUACCGUACGGGACCGCUUUCCGGACGUAACGGGUAAAGACGCACUAAACG
Molecule: RNA transcript, 7504 nt
Organism: Aedes albopictus (Asian tiger mosquito)
Lineage: Eukaryota; Metazoa; Arthropoda; Insecta; Diptera; Culicidae
Exons: 2
Source: RefSeq, a predicted model, not a curated record